Molecule: ribosomal RNA, 253 nt
Filed under: uncultured bacterium
Lineage: Bacteria
Description: partial 16S ribosomal RNA
Rfam family: Bacterial small subunit ribosomal RNA
Source: RNAcentral
UACGUAGGGGGCAAGCGUUGUCCGGAAUUAUUGGGCGUAAAGAGCGUGUAGGCGGCCAGAUAAGUCCGCUGUGAAAUCUCGAGGCUCAACUUCGAGCUGUCGGUGGAAACUAUCUGGCUAGAGUCCGGAAGAGGAGAAUGGAAUUCCUGGUGUAGCGGUGAAAUGCGCAGAUAUCAGGAAGAACACCCGUGGCGAAGGCGGUUCUCUGGGACGGUACUGACGCUGAGACGCGAAAGCAUGGGGAGCGAACAGG